UGUAGUUCAGUGGUAGAGCUUUUGCCUAGUAUGCAUAAGGCCCUGAGUUCAAUCCCUAGCA
This 61-nucleotide transfer RNA is filed under the name Heterocephalus glaber (naked mole-rat). It matches the Rfam family "tRNA", at positions 6 to 65 of the family's 71-position model. From Rfam's summary of the family: Transfer RNA (tRNA) molecules are approximately 80 nucleotides in length. Their secondary structure includes four short double-helical elements and three loops (D, anti-codon, and T loops). Further hydrogen bonds mediate the characteristic L-shaped molecular structure. tRNAs have two regions of fundamental functional importance: the anti-codon, which is responsible for specific mRNA codon recognition, and the 3' end, to which the tRNAs corresponding amino acid is attached (by aminoacyl-tRNA synthetases). tRNAs cope with the degeneracy of the genetic code in two manners: having more than one tRNA (with a specific anti-codon) for a particular amino acid; and 'wobble' base-pairing, i.e. permitting non-standard base-pairing at the 3rd anti-codon position. Lineage: Eukaryota; Metazoa; Chordata; Mammalia; Rodentia; Bathyergidae. The record is from Rfam by way of RNAcentral.